Molecule: long non-coding RNA, 1049 nt
Filed under: Homo sapiens (human)
Lineage: Eukaryota; Metazoa; Chordata; Mammalia; Primates; Hominidae
Description: HSALNT0010086
Source: RNAcentral
UUACCCACAUUAUAUGUGAUUGAAAGAGACGAUCUUAAGCCGAGGAUUUCUUAAUUUACCAGAAUGAUGCGCUGGACACUUGAAGUAAGAGCCCUUUGAAGCUGACGUGCUGCAGGAUAAAACACACUCUUUCCCAUUGUUGAGAAAGUUAUUCCAUGACAACAGAAGACCUCAAUUUGAACCUUGAACACUUCUGAAGAGAGUACUCCAAACCAAAAUGUUGGGGUUCAGUAACUGAGACAAAAACCAUUACAUGCUUUCAAUAUGAAGUUACAUUUGUAUCAUUGAUUGACUUGGUGGAAACUAUGGAAUGUCUGUCCUUAUGGGGCGUCUUUAAUUUUUGCUCAAAGUACUUAAAAGUGUGCUUUAGUCUGGCUUUUGUCCUGAUCUCAAAAAACUGAACCUGCUAGAAAGCAGGUCUCUUAGAGCUGGUAGACCAGCCAGAGGAGAUUACAGCAAUCAGAGUUAGGUGAUAUUUGCUCAAAAGUCUAUGGAUAUAGAAUAACAAAUUUUCUCAACAUAAAAGUGAAAAGUCGAUAUAAAAAUUUAAUUUGAUCUGCUGAGAAAAGUUGGUCUGGCCUGAUAAAAUUAAAUGGAUAGAAAUAAUAUUUUGGAGACUUAAAUUUUAUUUUCAUUGUCUUGCGACUGAACAAAUAAGUACUCUAAGUAAGAAGAAGGGCUAAAAUUCCCAUUUCAUGAGAAAUAUUCUCUAACAAAGAGUUUUUGGGCUACAUAUUUUUCACUUUCAUAAAUUCUAAAAGGAGAAUAGUUGAUGUGGACAUUAAAAUAAUUGGCUUUCUUGGAUCACAAAAUGACAAAGCAAAGCUGAUCUAUCUAAGAGUUUAAAAAGCAAUGUGGUUGGCCCUGCCUGAAGAAAAUGUACUAUGUGAAACCAAAAAUUUACAGAUGAAUAAACUAAGGGAUGAUUAUUCAUACUGUAAAAGAGUCUUUAAAGAAUUCCCCUAGGAUUCUUUUAAAGGCUGAGUUCCACUAGUUCAUGAAAGUGUUUGUAUGCAGAUCAUUAACUAUUUGACAGGCAGACUGGAAAU